GGCCAGCAUCAGUUUGAGCGGUAGGANAAUUGCGUAGGAAUGUGGCUCGGCCUCGGUCGAGUGUUAUAGCCUUCGUCGAUACUGCCAGCUUAGACUNAGGACUGCGCUNCGGCCNAGGAUGUUGGCAUAAU
This 131-nucleotide ribosomal RNA is filed under the name Lodderomyces elongisporus. Its description in RNAcentral is "partial 26S rRNA". Lineage: Eukaryota; Fungi; Ascomycota; Pichiomycetes; Serinales; Debaryomycetaceae. The record is from RNAcentral.